GGUGUACCUGACCCGAAAUGUCUAAAGGGGAAAUUCAUUCUCGUUUCGUCUCGUCGCACGCGGCGUGCCUUAUCGCGUGCUACACUCACCGCUUACGUGGUGGGUGUGUGUGUGUGCGUGUAAGUGCGGCGAGCGUGCGUGUCGGUGACGGACGGGGUCUCGAGCGACGAACGAUGAUGCGUUCGCGCGCGCGUCGUUUGCGCCGCCGUCCUCCGUACGUUGUUGUCCGGCGUCGAACGCGUGCACUUUUCCCCUAGUAGGACGUCGCGAUCCGUUGGGUGUCGGUCUAAGGGCCGCGAUGGAGACCGCGCGGACGUCUUCGAACGACGAGUCGCGCGGACUCGCGGUUUUUUACGGCGGGCGAGCGGGAAGGGACGAUAUUUGUCGUUCUAUACCGUUCUCUCGAUCGGCCGACCGACUCGCUCGACGGUAGGAAUGAGGCGUUGAGCCGCUGAUACACACUAGAUUAGCGUUCGGUCGGCGGCAAGCGCGUACGCCGUCCGUGUAGUGUUGUCGCCUUGUGUGACCUCAUCAAGCGSACGGAUGACGAUGAUGUUGAUGGUCAUCGUCAUGAUGGCGACGAUCGGACCCGGUGCCGAUCCCGUCUCCGGACGACUGUUGGCCGCCGAUAUUCUCGAACGGCUCUCCAUUCGGCGGGUAUGUCGUCAUUAUUGUCGUUAUUAUUACGAUGAUGUGRAU
RNAcentral lists this ribosomal RNA (699 nucleotides) under Sagra femorata. Its description in RNAcentral is "partial 28S ribosomal RNA". Lineage: Eukaryota; Metazoa; Arthropoda; Insecta; Coleoptera; Chrysomelidae. The record is from RNAcentral.